CUUUUAUAGAAUUAUCACGAGCCUUAACAACCAAAAUUGAAAACAAAGAAUCACCCAUCUCAUUGAUAAUAGACUUUAUUGUCUCUACAGCACAACAAUUAACUAAAUUCUUAUGGAUACUUGGUGAAGUCAUUUGGUCAUUUCCAGGAGCAUUACUAAGUACUACUUUAUUAAUUUUCUUACUACGAGCUCCAUACCAAUUUAGUAGCUCAAUUAUAUUUCUUUUAUUAGAAGACUCUUUCGAUUCAUCAUAACCACGAAAUGGCAAUCCUUACAACAAGAGAAAACUAGUACAAUCUAGCACCGCAGUCAAUCUUGUCCUAUAACUUUUUUGUUGACUACUACUUUAUCUAGAAAUAACAUAGGAGAUACUUUGCUUUUGAUUCAUCAAGUUGGUACACUUUGCAAAAGUUUGAUUAUGAGCACUAUCAACAAGCCUGACAUGAUCUUUCGAUAUAUUUUUGUGCUUCCAAUCCCUAAAGCCGCUCUUAGUGAAUAUAUGUCCACCCCCUUGACCCCCUCUAUCAAGUUUGAAUAAGUAGCAAUGCAAACAAUAAGUCGCAUCAUUUUCUAUACUGCACUCCAACCAAUAAAAUUCAGAAUACCAUUCUUUAUGAGAAUACCUAUUAUCAUUUCAUAUCCGUCUUCUUGGAAAGUCAUGUCCAUGUGGUUGACAAGGACCUUUUUUCCAAGUAUGCCAUCCUAACAUCAUCUUUGAUAUUAGGAUCAUUUGACUCGAUAGGGGGCAUUUUCUUGGAUCAGAUACAAGAUCAUCAACAUUGAAUUGAGCUUGAGACUCUUUAUGUUAUUUAACAACUCGUGUGCUCGGCUAGAAGCAAUAGCGGGACUAGAAGCACAAGUAGAAUUAGGAGAGCUGGGUAUAGACCUUCGUUUCGAUUGAAAAAAUCGUUCCAUAAUUUGCAAAAUGUCCCAAUUCAAUUUUCAAUUAGAAUUGAUCUAAAAAUCAACAAUUCAACAUUCGAGUUUGGAUUGAGCAUAUCUAGACAAAUCAACAAUUCAACAAACAAGACACAUCAAGUAAUCAACCACUCAUUUCGUUAACUUUUAUCACAAUCUACUAAAAAUCUGAUUUU
This 1094-nucleotide long non-coding RNA is filed under the name Olea europaea subsp. europaea. The record is from RNAcentral. Lineage: Eukaryota; Viridiplantae; Streptophyta; Magnoliopsida; Lamiales; Oleaceae.